UUUACAUUUGAUUGAGUGGCGAACUGGUGAGUAACACGUGGGAAACCUGCCCAGAAGCGGGGGAUAACACCUGGAAACAGAUGCUAAUACCGCAUAACAACUUGGACCGCAUGGUCCGAGUUUGAAAGAUGGCUUCGGCUAUCACUUUUGGAUGGUCCCGCGGCGUAUUAGCUAGAUGGUGGGGUAACGGCUCACCAUGGCAAUGAUACGUAGCCGACCUGAGAGGGUAAUCGGCCACAUUGGGACUGAGACACGGCCCAAACUCCUACGGGAGGCAGCAGUAGGGAAUCUUCCACAAUGGACGAAAGUCUGAUGGAGCAACGCCGCGUGAGUGAAGAAGGGUUUCGGCUCGUAAAACUCUGUUGUUAAAGAAGAACAUAUCUGAGAGUAACUGUUCAGGUAUUGACGGUAUUUAACCAGAAAGCCACGGCUAACUACGUGCCAGCAGCCGCGGUAAUACGUAGGUGGCAAGCGUUGUCCGGAUUUAUUGGGCGUAAAGCGAGCGCAGGCGGUUUUUUAAGUCUGAUGUGAAAGCCUUCGGCUCAACCGAAGAAGUGCAUCGGAAACUGGGAAACUUGAGUGCAGAAGAGGACAGUGGAACUCCAUGUGUAGCGGUGAAAUGCGUAGAUAUAUGGAAGAACACCAGUGGCGAAGGCGGCUGUCUGGUCUGUAACUGACGCUGAGGCUCGAAAGUAUGGGUAGCAAACAGGAUUAGAUACCCUGGUAGUCCAUACCGUAAACGAUGAAUGCUAAGUGUUGGAGGGUUUCCGCCCUUCAGUGCUGCAGCUAACGCAUUAAGCAUUCCGCCUGGGGAGUACGGCCGCAAGGCUGAAACUCAAAGGAAUUGACGGGGGCCCGCACAAGCGGUGGAGCAUGUGGUUUAAUUCGAAGCUACGCGAAGAACCUUACCAGGUCUUGACAUACUAUGCAAAUCUAAGAGAUUAGACGUUCCCUUCGGGGACAUGGAUACAGGUGGUGCAUGGUUGUCGUCAGCUCGUGUCGUGAGAUGUUGGGUUAAGUCCCGCAACGAGCGCAACCCUUAUUAUCAGUUGCCAGCAUUAAGUUGGGCACUCUGGUGAGACUGCCGGUGACAAACCGGAGGAAGGUGGGGAUGACGUCAAAUCAUCAUGCCCCUUAUGACCUGGGCUACACACGUGCUACAAUGGAUGGUACAACGAGUUGCGAACUCGCGAGAGUAAGCUAAUCUCUUAAAGCCAUUCUCAGUUCGGAUUGUAGGCUGCAACUCGCCUACAUGAAGUCGGAAUCGCUAGUAAUCGCGGAUCAGCAUGCCGCGGUGAAUACGUUCCCGGGCCUUGUACACACCGCCCGUCACACCAUGAGAGUUUGUAACACCCA
This 1356-nucleotide ribosomal RNA is filed under the name synthetic construct. RNAcentral's name for it is "bacterial SSU rRNA". It matches the Rfam family "Bacterial small subunit ribosomal RNA", at positions 80 to 1423 of the family's 1533-position model. RNAcentral also lists the same sequence under 1 other name. The record is from RNAcentral.